CCAGACCAGAGACUGCUCUUAUGUGGUUGAGAGCUGAAAUGGAAUAACUCAGGUACUCCUCUUUUCAAUUAGUCCAUGUUACUAAACUCCUUGCUAGCCAUUUAGUCCAUGUUGUUGCUGCUGCUGCUGUAAAGACAUUAUUUUCUGCUGAAAUGGAUAGUUGUUUUAAAUAUAUUUAUGAAGUUCUUUUGCAAACUAUUAGACUGACUGGUUAUAGGAAUACUUUGCUUGAAUAAUACAACCUUUUUUCAAAUGAUUGCUUGAUGUAUCGACACAGGUUGACAAGUGCUUGUGUUGUAGCUAGUCUAGGCUGAUUUUCUUGUGGUUGUAGUCAUUGUCUAUUUCUAAACUGCUAUGAUGCCUUGUCCCUAGAAAAUAAAAAGGGAUGCUUUUAACAUAGAUCAGAGGAUAGAGAUUGAUUUACCUAUUGUUUAUCUAUGUUUUUCUCAUUGUUCCCAUUCCUGGAAAUAAAACUGCCAAGUAUUUCACUCUCAAACUAAUUUUGGGUUUGAAUGGUUUCAAAAAGCAGGAGUUCUACAUAAGAAUGCUCCCGAAGAAGAGCGAAGGUGCCACGACUUGGAUCUAUUUGUGUGUGCUUUUCAGUGGAAGGCUUCAUAUCUAUUCGCUGGGUUUUGUCCAUGUAAUAUUUGUAGAGAAACUAAACACUAUUUCUGAAACGACUGACUGUAGCAUGGAAGAUUUUGGGAGGAACUGAUAAUUAAGCUCUUGUGGUCUAUUCAACAUAUUAUAUAUUAUGUAUGCUCCAAAUUGCUAUUAUUUUUG
RNAcentral lists this long non-coding RNA (783 nucleotides) under Triticum aestivum (bread wheat). RNAcentral's name for it is "long non-coding RNA (TAES_LNC001376)". The record is from RNAcentral. Lineage: Eukaryota; Viridiplantae; Streptophyta; Magnoliopsida; Poales; Poaceae.